This 2795-nucleotide long non-coding RNA is filed under the name Mus musculus (house mouse). RNAcentral describes it as "long non-coding RNA chr16:81290161-81292956". The record is from RNAcentral. Lineage: Eukaryota; Metazoa; Chordata; Mammalia; Rodentia; Muridae.
UAAUUCUUUACAGAAGAUAACCUACAAAGGAUUAUUGUACAAACAAAAAUUAUGUUCAUCUUUUGUUUUUUUAAAUGUAGUAGUAUGUGACAUCCAGUAUAGAGUCUAUGAGCCUAUCUAUGUAUCCAUCUACGUAUCUAUCUAUGAAUUUAUCUAUAUGUCUGGCUGUCAAGCUCUCUAAGAAUCCCUUGAAUUUUUUAAAGAUCCUCUUCAUGUAUGUUACAAGAUCUUAGAACUAGCCAAAUAAUUAUUAAUCUGUAUUUCUUUUAUUCAUCAGAGAAAUAAUUUUUCACUCAAUUUGUAACCUGUCUUCAAUUAAUUAUUUGCUUUUGUUGUAUAGCAGCUUUGGGUUUUGUGCAAUCCCAUUUGCAGUUAUUCAACAUAUUCUGAGCCACUGAAGAGUUUGUGUCUCUUGCUUGUGAAUCUGUGUUGAAGUGCUAUACCUAUCUUUUCACAGAGAAUUCGAAAGUUCCAAUCUUUGAUCUCUUUGUAGCUUAUUUUUGUGCAGGAUGAAAGAUAGUUAGAUACUUUCAUUGUUCUUCAUAUAGAUACUCUGUUUGUCCAGCUUUUGUGCAAAAGGCAGUUGUUUCCAAAUGUAUGUUCUGGAAUCAUUUUUUUUAAUAACCAUGAUUCUUUGAGUGUAUUUCUGGAAUCCCUAGUUAAUCCUGAUUUUAUUAUUCUCCAGGUCUGUCUUAUACCAAUACCAUAGAAUUUUUGUUAUUUUACCAUUAUACAACAACUUGAGAUCCAGUUUUGUGGCCCUUUGAAUAUAGUAUAUUUUGUUCAGGAUUGUUUUAUUUAUUCAGGUUAUCUUGUGCUUCAGCAAUCAUUAGAGGAUUUUCCGCAGUAACAUUAGAAUCCUGAACAUUAGGAAUGGUUUUGGUAAUACCACUAUUAUCAAAACAUGACUGCUUGAGUGUGGAGCGAACUCUUAUUUUGCAGCACCUCCUUCAGUCUCUCCAAUAUGCUUACAUCUUUAUUUCAAAAGCAUUUUACUCCUUUUGUUAUGUCUAAUGCUAGGCAUAUUUUAAUGGUAUUCUGAAUAAUAUAUCUAUUAUCAACAGAUAUGCCAUUGGAAUAUAGGUAAGCUGAAGAAUAAUAUAAGUUGGAUCAUAUCAUCAUAAUUUGCUGGUGACUUGCAUGUUUGAGAUUUUUUUUUUCUGGGAUAACUCUAGGGUCUUUCUGCCUCUGUGGAUACUUUGACAUUUUUCUUGCUUGCAUUCCUUCUAUUCCUAACUCUUGUGUUAUUUCUCUAGCUAAGCAUUCAAGAACUGCAUGUCUCACAUUUUCUCUAUUUAGUAUAAUGUUGGAUGUCGUAUUAUAUAUCUAUAUUAUAUUGAGGUAUGUUCCCUUUAUAUAUAAUUUAUUCAUGGAUUUUAUCAUGAAGAGUGUUGAGACUUAGCCAAAGUGAUUUUUGUCUCUGCUGAGAUGAGCAUUGAUAUCUAUGAGUCAAGCAAUUGAUGUAGUGGGUUAAAUAUAUUGACUUGCAUAUGAUGAAACAUAUCUGCGCCUUUGAAUGAACAGUAAUUGAUACUAGUCAAUGAUCCAUUUAAUCUGUCAUUUUUGUGGCCUGCAAUUAAUAAUAGACAAUUACUCACCCAUCCAUGUUCAUCAAGUUCAUUUCCCAAUAACCAUUUUUUUCUGUGUUCUUAUGAAUGGAAAUGUUCUGUGUCUUAGUGAUAUUUAUAAAAAUAAACACUGAAUCUUAUCACGUUUGGGUUUAUAUUGUCUCCGACAUAUGUGAUGUAUAAUGUUGAUAUGGAUUGAUGAGUCAUUUAUUUAAUGAAUCUCUUAUAUCUGCAAUAAAAUCAGUGUUAAUAAUAGCUUCUAUAAUAGCAUUACUUUAUUAAGUAUUAAUUUGUUUAUAAUUUUGUAUCAAACACAAAUUGAGUUGUCCUCUUUUUUAUUUCCCCUUUUAAAUGGAUAAAUAUACAUCUAUUCACUUUUUUAUUUUACUGUGCAACUCCCUUCAAUUAUUUCCUCUUCUUUGAGUUUUUCAGUUAUCCUUAAAUAUAUAUUUUUUCAGCUACUGUCAAUUUUUCAUUUUGAAACAUGAUUUGUAGUGAACAUAAUAAUACCUAGGAAAAAAAGGUGGCUAUUUUUCUAAAGUUGUGGCCUCAUUUUUGCACCUACUUGCUUAUUUCUAUUACAGCUUUUAUCAACAGUGUUGAUUUCUUAUUUCAAAUAAAGUUGAACCAUAUCUGGUGCCCUUGGCAUCUUAUAAGUGUAUCUCAGAAUGAACUGAAAGAUCUCUGUACCUUCCAUUUCUUCAAAGGCUGCAGUCAGUGCUUUCUGGGAGUUAUUUUAUGACACAGUGAUUGCCCGAUGGUAUCUGCUCUGAUAACUGCACUUAAGAAAUGUAUGAAGAGAAAGCUUUUAUCAGUCUGUCACCAUCGGACCUUAUCACCCACAAGCAAGUGGUCAGGCUAAAGAGCAUUGCCAACCAUAGAGCAGGUUCUCAUGGGAGAUUGACUAGAAAGAUAGGACAAGUUGGAGGGGAGUCAGAUCCUUUUACUCCUGAAUCAAUAGUGUGUAUUAGUACAGAUAGAUUUUUGAGGCCAUGAUGAGCUUCUCUUGCUUAGAAUUGGCUUCAUGGGAUGAGAAAUAGCUGUGUGCUUGUAUCUGGUUUCUUCCGUGCUCCUGAUCUAUACAAAGGAUUACACUCUGCCUUCCAUCAAAUGAAUGUUGUUCACUCGAACUGAACCUUUAUCCUGUCAUUAUGUUACCAAUUUAUUAGAAUUUAAGGUAUACACCUGGGUUACUGAAAGUAAAUAUAAAACCUCUCCAGAGUCAUG